This 466-nucleotide ribosomal RNA is filed under the name uncultured bacterium. RNAcentral's name for it is "partial 16S ribosomal RNA". It matches the Rfam family "Bacterial small subunit ribosomal RNA", at positions 28 to 507 of the family's 1533-position model. The record is from RNAcentral.
GAUGAACGCUGGCGGCGUGCUUAACACAUGCAAGUCGAACGAUGAAGCCCAGCUUGCUGGGUGGAUUAGUGGCGAACGGGUGAGUAACACGUGAGUAACCUGCCCUUAACUCUGGGAUAAGCCUGGGAAACUGGGUCUAAUACCGGAUAGGAGCGCCUACCGCAUGGUGGGUGUUGGAAAGAUUUAUCGGUUUUGGAUGGACUCGCGGCCUAUCAGCUUGUUGGUGAGGUAAUGGCUCACCAAGGCGACGACGGGUAGCCGGCCUGAGAGGGUGACCGGCCACACUGGGACUGAGACACGGCCCAGACUCCUACGGGAGGCGGCAGUGGGGAAUAUUGCACAAUGGGCGAAAGCCUGAUGCAGCGACGCCGCGUGAGGGGUGACGGCCUUCGGGUUGUAAACCUCUUUCAGUAGGGAAGAAGCGAAAGUGACGGUACCUGCAGAAGAAGCACCGGCUAACUACGUG